Molecule: ribosomal RNA, 492 nt
Filed under: uncultured bacterium
Lineage: Bacteria
Description: partial 16S ribosomal RNA
Rfam family: Bacterial small subunit ribosomal RNA
Source: RNAcentral
AGUGAACGCUGGCGGUAGGCCUAACACAUGCAAGUCGAACGGCAGCACAGUAAGAGCUUGCUCUUACGGGUGGCGAGUGGCGGACGGGCGAGGAAUACAUCGGAAUCUACUUUUUCGUGGGGGAUAACGUAGGGAAACUUACGCUAAUACCGCAUACGACCUACGGGUGAAAGCAGGGGAUCUUCGGACCUUGCGCGAUUGAAUGAGCCGAUGUCGGAUUAGCUAGUUGGCGGGGUAAAGGCCCACCAAGGCGACGAUCCGUAGCUGGUCUGAGAGGCUGAUCAGCCACACUGGAACUGAGACACGGUCCAGACUCCUACGGGAGGCAGCAGUGGGGAAUAUUGGACAAUGGGCGCAAGCCUGAUCCAGCCAUACCGCGUGGGUGAAGAAGGCCUUCGGGUUGUAAAGCCCUUUUGUUGGGAAAGAAAAGCAGCAGGUUAAUACCCCGCUGUUCUGACGGUACCCAAAGAAUAAGCACCGGCUAACUUCGUG